Molecule: ribosomal RNA, 413 nt
Filed under: uncultured bacterium
Lineage: Bacteria
Description: bacterial SSU rRNA
Rfam family: Bacterial small subunit ribosomal RNA
Source: RNAcentral
GUGCCAGCAGCCGCGGUAAUACGUAGGUGGCAAGCGUUGUCCGGAUUUACUGGGCGUAAAGGGUGUGCAGGCGGACAUUUAAGUGAGAUGUGAAAGACCCGGGCUUAACUUGGGCAGUGCAUUUCAAACUGGAUGUCUGGAGUGCAGGAGAGGAGAACGGAAUUCCUAGUGUAGCGGUGAAAUGCGUAGGGAUUAGGAAGAACACCAGGGGCGAAGGCGGUUUUCUGGACUGUAACUGACGCUGAGGCACGAAAGCGUGGGUAGCAAACAGGAUUAGAUACCCUGGUAGUCCACGCCGUAAACGAUGAGUACUAGGUGUAGGAGGUAUCGACCCCUUCUGUGCCGCAGUAAACACAAUAAGUACUCCGCCUGGGAAGUACGGUCGCAAGAUUAAAACUCAAAUGAAUUGGCGG